UAGUGUUAUCCGGAAUCACUGGGCGUAAAGCGUCUGUAGGUGGUCUAAUAAGUCAACUGUUAAAUCUUGAGGCUCAACCUCAAAACCGCAGUCGAAACUAUUAGACUAGAGUAUAGUAGAGGUAAAGGGAAUUUCCAGUGGAGCGGUGAAAUGCGUAGAGAUUGGAAAGAACACCAAUGGCGAAGGCACUUUACUGGGCUACUGCUGACACUCAGAGACGAAAGCUAGGGUAGCAAAUGGGAUUAGAUACCCCAGUAGUCCUAGCUGUAAACAAUGGAUACUAGGUGUUGAACAGAUCGAACUGUGCAGUACUAAAGCUAACGCGUUAAGUAUCCCGCCUGGGAAGUAUGCACGCAAGUGUGAAACUCAAAGGAAUUGACGGGGGCCCGCACAAGCGGUGGAGCAUGUGGUUUAAUUCGAUGCAACGCGAAGAACCUUACCAGGGUUUGACAUGAUACGAAUUUCUUUGAAAUAAGAAAGUGCUAUUUAUUUAGAACGUAUACACAGGUGGUGCAUGGCUGUCGUCAGCUCGUGUCGUGAGAUGUUGGGUUAAGUCCCGCAACGAGCGCAACCCUUGUUUUUAGUUGCCUUCGGGAACUCUAAAAAGACUGCCGGUUAUAAACCGGAGGAAGGCGGGGAUGACGUCAAGUCAGCAUGCCCCUUACACCCUGGGCUACACACGUGCUACAAUGGGCGAGACAAUGAGCUGCAAACUUGCGAAAGUUAGCUAAUCUAUAAACUCGUUCUUAG
RNAcentral lists this ribosomal RNA (750 nucleotides) under Elphidium margaritaceum. RNAcentral's name for it is "SSU rRNA". It matches the Rfam family "Bacterial small subunit ribosomal RNA", at positions 536 to 1291 of the family's 1533-position model. The record is from RNAcentral. Lineage: Eukaryota; Foraminifera; Rotaliida; Elphidiidae.